Mus caroli (Ryukyu mouse) is the source of this 2048-nucleotide non-coding RNA. The record is from RefSeq and is a predicted model, not a curated record. Lineage: Eukaryota; Metazoa; Chordata; Mammalia; Rodentia; Muridae.
ACAGCUGAGAACAAGCUGAAGAUGGGCCAUCAAGCCCCUAAAGAGUGGUGAGAAGAAAUAGUUAACGACAGGUCCUUCCACGUGUUUGGUAUAUCAAGACAUCCUUUCACCUGUGUGCCCCUGCAAAAUAUCAUUUGACAUAAACUAACUUCCCAAAGAAACUAAAAGUUUCCACUUCGGGCAUUCAACAAAAUCUUGGGUGAUUUGACAGCAAACCUGGAUUCAUGAAGACCAUUAACUUAGAAGGGAAAAGCUGAAAAUACAGUAGCAUAGAUUUCUCUGUGUGUCAGCAACUGUUUCAAAUCUUCAAAAUCAUAGUAAUGUGCUUAACCCUUCUGGGAAAGUCUAAAAUGGGAUUUCUUACUCCAAUAUUCUCUUGAGUAGUGUAAUUUUUAAAUAAUCUAAUUCCAUGGGCAACAACUUCGGCUAUUCAUUUACAGCUUGCAAAAGGCGUCACUUCUCCAUUCUGUUGAAGUAACUGACAGCUGGGGCAGGCAUCAUGUGGUUCCAGUUCAUUAUUAUUUUAUUGGGAUUAAAAUAAUUAACUUAUAUACCUCAUUUCCUCAUCACACAAGUAAAACAAAAUAAACAGAACAAAACAGAUCCCUUACGGAAAAAAAAAAAAGAAACAGACUGGAUUUCCAAGUCUAGCAACGGUAGAUAUCUCUGAAAUACUAGUCUAUUCUGCUUUCACUGGAUUUCUGUUACAAAAAUUAGAGUCUUGAAUCUCAAAUGUACCUUACAGACAGCUAUUAAAAUAAGCCAGGAAUGCAGGAAAGGAGAGUUUUCUCAUAGAACAGUUUUUGUUCGUGCUCAUAUCUCAGACAGCUUUAACUAAAAUGCAACAAUCUAAAAAUACAUACAUGUUAUUCUGGUGCAGUGAAAUGGCCAUAAUUUUUAUUUACUUUUAGUUUCUUCCUGAAGGCAAAAAUCUAAAAGGAAACACCUGCAGACUCUGACUUGUAGUCUUUGACUUCUCUGGAAAUACGAUCCACACACUGGAGUUCGGACAGUUUGGUUUCAGCUUGGGUGAAGGCCUAAUUGUGAAGGGCUUUUUAAAUGGCCACCUGUUCUUCUCCCCUAGCGGCAACAGCUCAGCCUUCCUCCACAGCCAGCACCAGCACAGCACGUCCCUUUACUGAGCUUGCACUGGCAUCUCUGCUGAGAUUGCUCUUCUGGCCACUGUAUAGGGGACACUACUGUUUUCCUGUGAUGGCCCAUGCCAGUACUCUGAUCACCUACCCAGCUGUCAUUGGCAAAGAUGCAGAGUGCAUGUUAUAGUCAGAUCCUUGGGUCUCAGAGACAAUUUUAGGGUGGAAGCCUCCUGGGUUCUAUGUCCUGCUUCAUGAGCGCAGAAACACAGCUUCCAGAAGACUGAUCUUCCACCAAUGGGAGUAAGGAGUGGUGUUGCUGGGGACCGAGCAAGGAGUCGAGGAAGAAGGAGAAGAGACAAUACUUAACACACCACCGUCUUCCUGCCUCUCCUCAACUGCUUCUCGUUGACACAGAAGAAACCGAUGAGUAUAGAAGACGUGGUUUCUAAACUAAAAAUAGUAAUAAUUAUCACUUUCCUUUACUGAUUUCCAGUCACAGACUAUGAUAAGUAAGAGUUGUCGCACUGCCUGGUCACUUACAAAAAAGCCAACAGCAGUUCGCGUAUGGGCAACUUUUUUGGAGCUAACAAUUAUAAGCAAAGAAUAAGACCGGUGACUCAUCACCAAGAUGUUCAUUAGUCUUUCUUCAGCCUCAGCGAUGUUGUUCCUAUAAAUAAGCAACUCCUGAAGCUCAAACCCCCUGCUGCUUAGCCUUAGAAACAUGUGCAUGCGCACUUGGUGCUUAAGCACUCCUUGCUUAGGCCACAACUCAGAACCCAUCAGCUCUCUCAUUCGCAUAACGUAUGAUUUUUGCACCAAAUGAACUCAUAUUUUCAAAAUAACGUGCCUCGCCUUCUCAUGCUAUACAUAUCAAAAUCUUGAUUUUCCUUUUUCUCCACCUUCCCAUCCUAGUCAGCUAUCUGCCCUAUAAUAAAACAGUGACCAUUUUUGACU